GCCAGUGUGGUGUAGUGGUUUGAAGAUUGGACUAUGACUCUCGAGACCAGAGUUCAAAUCUCUGCUCAGCCA
Phrynosoma platyrhinos (Desert horned lizard) is the source of this 72-nucleotide non-coding RNA. The record is from the annotation of a GenBank genome assembly. NCBI's taxonomy places the organism in Eukaryota, Metazoa, Chordata, Lepidosauria, Squamata, Phrynosomatidae.